Molecule: long non-coding RNA, 4970 nt
Organism: Anopheles stephensi (Asian malaria mosquito)
Lineage: Eukaryota; Metazoa; Arthropoda; Insecta; Diptera; Culicidae
Exons: 2
Source: RefSeq, a predicted model, not a curated record
UAAUCAGAUUUUCGGGGAGCUACUUCUAAUCGCGUGACGUUUCAGACUCGUUGCUUUGCGUCGUGUUUACUCCGUGUGUACGAGUGUGCCUGUGUAGGAGGAGCGGGUUUAGAACUUCCGGCUCGAGAGUGAUUAGUGUACAAAGCGUGGAGAGUGGAAAAGGUUCGGGCUUAUUGGAAGGCAUCAGGAAAAAAUUGAAAUGAAGUGGGCGAGUGUUUUUUUUUGUUUGAAUUGUUUUGUUAUAAAUGUAUUACUCUCCAGUUCGGUUUUAUUGCUUACUUACAAACGUAUAAAAACAUACAUAUAAUUAGUUUACCGAUCGCGCGCAGCAUAGUGACAAAAAGGGGAUUGGAAGGGAAAGUAGGGACAUUAUCUUAGUGUUAAUGCGCGAUUACACCGUCUUAAUGUGAAAAACUGUGAGUGUUUUAUGUUUAAUUUGUUAAUAAAUAAAUCUUAACACUAGCUAAGUAACACGGCAAGCUGUAACAACGAAAAAAAAGCGUUGGAACCAAUCGAACCCGAACGUCGAGUUCUGUUCGACGAGACUAAGCCUAUUAAGUGAUCGACGAGAAUUCGACCUCAGAACUUUAGCGACAAGAUCACACACAUCUUCGUGGCGGUAGCGUAGUAACAAGCAAAAACAAAGGAGCAGUAGUAAAAGUGAUCGCAGCAGCAACAGAAGUAGCAACAGCAACAGAAGGAGUGUCAAACUGCAUGCAACUGUCAGACGAUGCAGCGGCAAUGGCGGUAAUGGCGGCACAAGAUCCGACAUGUCUGCCACAACUUGACAAGAUAAGUAUUUCGUUUCAAAGGCAUUUGUGUGUGUUACCAAACAAAUUGCUGCAGCGUUAAUUUAUCGUUUUGCCUCGCGUUAAACACACAAAAACAGCACACAAGAUCUAUUACACUUCCCAGAUGGGGGCGCCUGAUUUUGUAAGCCAUGCAUAUCGCUUUGACUUUCGUAGAACGUUCGGGGUCAUUCGCCCGGUUUGUACGUGCGGUCAAAUUAGCGUAGCAGGCUGCAAAGGAGCGGGUUAAAGGACGUCGACAUUUUGUAAGAAAAAAAACCACUCACUCUCACACACACACACACACACACACACACAAUCAUAACGAAACAAAGCGGCGAUACUAUUUUUAGCUAUUUUUUAAAACACAAAAGAAAUUUGGCGGUUUAUGCGUGUGUGUCUGUUUUGUUGUUGUCGUUGUUGAUGUCAUAAACAAGUGCACGUACGCAUACAAACUGCAACCAUCUUGAGGACGCUGCAGCAAAUUGUGGUUUGGGUAGCAGUUGGCUAAAGAUCAUCCUUACUGACGCUAGAAUUUGUUUCUUUUUUGAACAGGAUACAGGUGAUGGCGAGUUGGCGCCAACCGAACGUGAGGAGACCCUUUUGGAGGCUAGCGAUUGCAAGUUGUUAACUUUUACUGCCUAAUCAGCAUUCGCUACCAGGGUUGGAAGUAAGGCUCAUCUCAUCAGGGCAAGUGCAUACAUCAGUCCGUCCAACGCAAGUCUAACAAACGACAGUCCCUAACAAGAGGCAGGUGUGACAACAAUAGCGCACGGCACGUCAUCGUCCAAAAACAAACCAACCAAGCUAGAUCUAGAGGAGCCGCGCGCGUGGGGACUGCUUCGUCAUUGUUUGUUCCAACAAAAUGACUCAACCGGCUGAGACAUCCCUCGGGACAUCCUCACUAAGUAACGCGAUGAUUUAGGAUGUGAAUUCACCUACACCUACCGGAAGCCCGGAGAACAUUCUAGAAUAAUUUUUGGGUUCCCGCAUAUGUCUACUAUCUGAUCACGCUCACGAGCUCACGGUCGAAGUCUAAACAAAUCAAACAUCGAGAAUUCGGUUGCUGGCGCUUUGAAGUUCCAAUAUAUACUCCAUUCCUGAAAUCUCUUGAGUCCAAGGCAAUUGAAAGAUGCCUAUCUUGCCCUACACGCUCCAUACUGUUACAGUGUCCAACAUCGCGCAUUUCGUUGCUUCCCUCUUGUUAUGCUCAGUACCCGGAUUCGAACGAUCAUUCUCACGGACGGCUUCACUUGUUUGCGUCCCUCCGUUUCAGCCAGUACCCGGUUGCGGGAUUUGUUUGGGGAGAUGUAGGUUUUGUGCUAACGAAAUCUAUUUUAGUAAUGAAAUCUUUAUUGCUAAUUAUUCAGCUCGAAAGAAGCACUAGACGCCGCACAAAGAUUGAAGCAUUUUGGGGUGUUUUUUUGUGUUGGGGAGAAGAGUUACAUAAUUGUUUCCUGCACGCUAUCCUUCUUCAUCCUGUCCUAAAGCUUUGCUUCUCGUUCCUCCACUUCCUCUGACCGCCUUUUUAUGUUUGAUGUUUGACUAAAGAGUACUUCUACGUUUUGCAAACCCAAUCAAUGUGUAUCACCGCCACCGUAAAGAUAUCGAUCAAUUGCGCUUCAAGGUAAGUAAGACCGAGUAAUAAAUCGUGUGUAGUUCUGGUUUUAAUCUCUCUUCAUGCGCAAUAAAGUAAAUUAAUGAACCGUGAAAGUACAUUUCCAAUACACACCAACCAACAAAAAAUGAAAGCGAGCCUUUAGUUACUGUACAUCUUCACUCAUCAUCCGAAAAUCAAUCGAAAGAAUUCUUGGAAGAGAAAAACACAAAAAAAUCACAUCAGCGCCCUGCAGUAAAACAAACAGAUUAAACACCUUCGAACCUCAACCCGAAGGUCAGCAUGAUUCAUGCUCCAGAAGCAGAUCCAAAUCCGCGGCAGUCUUCCGGGACGCGAUCGCUUUUCCGUGUGCAAACAUGCUUACCACAUGUGGUGGCCAUCAUCACCGGCAGCAGAGGUGAUGUGGCCGUUAAACAGAACGCCACACGAAGCACACGGCGUCCUAUAAUUAGAACAGUUCGCCGUGUUCGCUUGCCGUGUGGAAAAAAAACAGGGAAAACAAGCAAGUCUCACUCGGCGUGGGGUGCACCGAAAAACCAAAUCUCAUCAGGUUUGUCAUCAGCAUCCGCUCACCUUACGGUGGUAGCAUAAAUGCGCACCGUUGGGAUGUCUAGGAGAUGUGGCAAGAGCCGGCGUGUCGGCGCGACGCUGACUCAACUCCCGGGCGUUGGAAUAUUCCAAACGGGUGUGUGCACACACCUUUACAACGGUCCGAAUCGCAUCCGAACUGCACACGGCACGCACGGCGGCGGUAUUUGACCAUCGACUCUCCAAGCAGACGACGGUGGCCACGUAUAAUUAGGGUAGGGUAUUGCAUCGCUUUUCUACCACCGCCCUUACUGCCGCGAUUCGCCCACUGAGAUGCACAACACGACACCGUUGCUCAGGGACGUUGCAAAAUUCUUCAUCCAAAAGUUAAAAUGCACCUUCACGCAUGGUGCGGCCAUGAGAAUGUGACGUCGGCGAUCUUCUCAUCGCAGAAUGCUGCAUGUUUUGCGAGACAUUGUGAUGGACGCUGGCUAUUAAUCUUGCUGAGCGCAAACGAAUGCUUUACGGUGGAAGAUGCUGAGGAUUUUCUGGGUUUGCUUUUUUUCUUUUGGCAUAAUUUUAACACCCUCACACCACAAGCAGAACGAACGAACGAGCGAUUGACGGGUCGACGACAUGUGAAUAUGCAGGAAGAUCGUGUACGCGCGUAGGUGAUUCCACGGAAAAUGGGAAAAUCGUGUACAUGUGUGCAUGUGUUAUUUUUUCGAAGAAAAUACCAAAAAGUUAGGUUGAUCAGCAAAAGGAAGAAUUGAUUAUUUAAUCAAUGUGUGUUUUCAUCUUUCUUUUUUCCUUUCUUCAAACCGAACCUAAUAUUUCAGGACGUUUCACUUGAUGCCAAUCUCGCAACGGAUGGUGUACAGGGAUGGAUUCGUACACUGUCGGGGUAGAAUUUUGUUGUUGGUGUUUUACACCAAUUAACGGAGAAGUUAUGGCGACCGGGUUGGAGAAGGCUUUAACUAUUGGAAUUUGGAAAUGGCCACGGAGUCAAAACCGGUGACGGCUCACAAAACGAUUCCUCGCACGCAUGUGUGUGUGUCAUUCGAUCUAUUUUCAUUGCUAAAAAUAGCGAAGACACUGGUGGGAAGGAGAUGUCCCGACGAUGGCGGGAUCUCGUUCCCCAUUUCGUAUCGUAUUGUGCUCGUGUGCGUGUUUCGUGGUGUAUGUGUGUUGGAUGUGUUCGAUCAUUGGGGUGGUAUCAAGUUUAGAGGAGGGUAAAAGAACCUGCCAGUCUCUUAUCAGUUCGUUCGUUUGCUUGUGUUGUGUAACGCUGACGUUACGGCUCUACCCUUGGGCGCCAUAUUGACAAAACGCUUCCUGUUGGCCUUUCCCUCUUUUUUAUUGUGUUAACAUUAUCCUCAAGCUAUAAAAAACUAAGCUGGCCUAAUUAUGCGCGGUGUGUAUAAUGUGUCAGUUAAGUCGAUCAUUAAAAUCAGCAAAGCUUACAUAUCAUGUGGGAAGAGGAUACUACCUCUGCUAGACGUAUAAAAAACAGCAUCAAAAAACAUGGCGCGUUAUUAUAAAUAUGUAAAUAGCUAUUCUCUUCUCCUCUUUGGCGUUCCUUGCAUUUCCAACUCAACGUACGUGUUUCUUCCAUUCUAAAUGUUUUUAUGUUAUAACGGUUUUUUUUUCACGAACGCUUUUCAUGUGAUGUAUGCACUUGCACUAGGUUUUAAGAUUUGGGAUUUUAACAUUAAGCUCUCCAAACGGUUUGUUGACAAAUAACGACAAAAACAAAUAAACAAUGUCGCCCCAAGCAGAAAGACACUUGUGGGGGUAAGUUGUUAGAACAAUAGUUGCAUCCUCUUUGUGUUCCUCUGUUCGACGUUCUUGCCCACUGCUCGCUACUCGUCCACAAGAUGGUGUCACUUUGUCGCGAACUCUAACUUGUAGAACGUUUAGUUGUUCUUUUCGUUUUGGUUAAUAAUUGUCUCAGCAAAGGAGCUGCUCCAUAGUGCUCCAGAGCUACAACUGUUGCUGCUGCAUAUUAAAGCGAAAAUACCCAAACUUUUUGGGGG